AGGACGAACGCUGGCGGCGUGCCUAACACAUGCAAGUCGAGCGGGGACUGCGACGACGGAUUUGAAGAUUCGGUUGGAUAUGAAGAUGUACAGUUCUAGCGGCGGACGGGUGAGUAACGCGUGAGCAACCUGUCCCGUUACAGGGGGAUAACACAGCGAAAGUUGUACUAAUACCGCAUAAGACCACGGAUUCACAUGGAUCAGGGGUCAAAGGAGUAAUCCGGGUAAGGGGUGGGCUCGCGUCCGAUUAGAUAGUUGGUGAGGUAACGGCCCACCAAGUCGACGAUCGGUAGCCGACCUGAGAGGGUGAUCGGCCACAUUGGGACUGAGACACGGCCCAAACUCCUACGGGAGGCAGCAGUGGGGGAAUAUUGGGCAAUGGGGGGAACCCUGACCCAGCAACGCCGCGUGAGGGAAGAAGGUUUUCGGAUCGUAAACCUCUGUCCUAUGUGAAGAGGAAGAGACGGUAGCAUAGGAGGAAGCCCCGGCUAACUACGUGCCAGCCGCAGC
This 510-nucleotide ribosomal RNA is filed under the name uncultured bacterium. Its description in RNAcentral is "bacterial SSU rRNA". It matches the Rfam family "Bacterial small subunit ribosomal RNA", at positions 26 to 518 of the family's 1533-position model. The record is from RNAcentral.